Non-coding RNA from Physcomitrium patens, 3574 nucleotides. The record is from RefSeq and is a predicted model, not a curated record. NCBI's taxonomy places the organism in Eukaryota, Viridiplantae, Streptophyta, Bryopsida, Funariales, Funariaceae.
UGCUGAGACUCUCAUCCAUAACCAUCCUCUACAAUUAGAUGAGCCGGAGAAAAUGGAAUAACGGAUUUUGGUUAAAUUUAGUAACAACUUGGCACAUAAAGCAGCCACUCACAAGCCAUUGUGUACCCUACAACAGAGUUAUGUCAAGGCUCAAAAGUGGACCAGGAGAGACCAGGCCGGCGACCACUUCAAGACCACUUCUCAGUCUAAAAAUUUGCAAUGAAAGAUUGGCCGGUGGGCAGUGGUGACCGGAAUCUGUUUGGUAAAAGUUAGGAAGGUAUGGAAGGGGACAGACGGACUCCUGAUGGAGAGAGCAAGUCAUUAUCAUCCCAGCUCACUGCGAUGGUCGACUAAGCAAAGGAUAGACACAGAGAAGUAGGGCUGGGAAAGGGUAGCUUCACUUACUAGAGAGGGAAAGGUCCUAAGGAUCGGCUCCAAUAUCCAAUCUGGGUGGAAAUAUUUCACCAGCAAGAUAGCCUCGUACACUCAUGUAAGUGUCCUACAGAAUGAUUUGGGAUGGAACGGCAGAAAUCUUCCUGACAGAUAGGUGAGCAGGCCAUCUAUCGCUCCGUUGUCGUUGCAGCAUUCACAGAGAUAGGAUACGAGGAUCGGUCUUCGGCAGAUAAAACCUCGAGCCUCGUCUUCAAAGUGCGAUUUGAAUGUGAAAUCUACUUGAUAACAGUUGCAGGUGCAACCGCGUCGCAGGAAUUAGCUCGUCUUUGAAGCAUCCUGGCGUACCUAGCAAGAUCUUAAUUCAUGUGCGCGUAGUGGUGGAAACAGUUUCUUAUAGUGGAGCUGGGUGCUUAUGCAUCAAGCGACCUAUCUCUGAAGUGCUGAAAGAGCCAGUUCGAAGCAUCGAAAGAGUAAAAACUCAAGUCGUUUGAGCACCUCCAACCUUGAGUUUCUUUUGAAUAGCGUCUCUUUUGUCCCCUGGGCCUCCCGCACUUCGUAUCAUAGAUCUGCCUCCGAUCCGACUUCUCCCUGUUAGAACAUGGAUGUAGUGUCUUUCAUGUGGUGCACUACAAGGGCGACCUGAGUGUAAAUCUGCGAAGUUAUCAAUCAUCUACCUACUUACAACUUAGGACGUUGUACCACACUUGUACUAAAAGUAUGCGUACCACUGAAGAGGUCGAUUAGGGCUUUUGAGGAAUCAGUUCUUCCUUUGAACGUCGAAGUGAGCCUGCGGACUGACGUAUCUGAUCUGGUUGAACCUAUCGGGAUCAACAUCUCAUCUGAUCUGUACUAGUUUGGGGAUGCGACGGCAAACGACACUAGGAAAACGGUACUAACCAUCACCCAUCUGGACGUAUGUCGACCAGUACGGCAGUAGUUCGGGACGCGCCUGCUCUGCGAUCACGCCGUAACAAGCUUUGGCGUCAUGCUCAAAGAGGUUAAGUCAAGGACAGGAUUGGCUCAAGGUAGCAGAUCUGUAACAGUGUCUGCAACCCUGGCCCUCAUGUACGUGGUAUCCUAGACUGAUCCUUCAGAACCUCACUCUCAUAUUCAUAUUUCUAUUGAGAUGGACGAACUUGACGAUCACUUUGCCUUUCUAAUGAAUGAACAGAAAUCUCCUCUAGCCAACGACCAAGGACCGCAUGCAUUAAAACUCAAAAUAAGCAUGAUGUAAUGCCAUCAUUCUAUGUUCCUCAAUCCCGUGUGCUGACCACUUUAUUAAGCGGGUGGAAGCUGAUCAGGUAAGGAAUCUGAUUGAGAGAUUCUUUUGCUAUGUUGAACAAUGGAUUUUCAUACAGAUGGUAACAUUAUUGAGCUCUCCAUUCGGAAAACCAUGUUAACCUCGACCUCUACCCUUGUUUGUUGCUCCAGAAAGCGAUUCGGUGUUUGCUCUUAUCAAUGUCAUGCAUUUGUGCUCGAUGAAACAUUCAUGAUUCUGUGCUUUGUUCUCGAUGGAACAUUUAUGAUUCUGUGCUUUGUUCUCUAUUCAGUACACAGUGUUCAGUUCAAGUGAUAGUGUGGCCUUUCGAAAAGUAUGAUUGAGGAUGAUAUAUUGUGACCGCGCUUUGGCGUUUCACAAUGUUUCAGAGGCAACGCUGCAUCAUUUUAAGUGGUUUUCCCUCAUCUUUGAGCAGUUACUGCAAGUGCCCACAUGGGUUUGGGUGGGACUACAUUGGAAUACAUUAAACAUGCGAUUACUACAUGUGAAGAGUCACUUGUGCCUAGGACGUACAUUGUUUCGUCUUUAUUCACCUCUGAUACCCCCAAAAUACUCUGGUCGUUCAUUUGUUGUAGACAAUUGCACCAACGAGGACAAGACAAUCGUUGAAGCGUCAAUUUGAAAGGUAAAAGAGUCUGCAGAAAUCAAUGGGGGAAACUGGCACUGCCUGGCUCCCUGUAUGCCACUUGCGAAUUUUGGCAAAACUUGUGGCAGGGUACGUAGCUGCCAUACAGGGAGUCAGACAGACCUUGCAUCUUCCCGGAUUCUCAUGAAGCUCUUUACCAUGUUCUCAUUUAUCAAGGUACUGUACAUGCUACUUCCGUAAUGAUAAUUAUGUGAAAUGAAAUAUUCUUUGUUAGAUCAGUUGAUAGUUUCCAAUCAAAAUAUGAAUCUGUGUCAAGCUAUCGAUAACCUUGACAAUUAACAGAACACUCCGAUUUCUCCAAUAUAAGAGGACUUUCCAGUGGGUGGUAAUUAAAUCAUGUGAUAUAUUGAAACUUAAGUUUCUACCGAAAUAUACGCAUGGCAGAAAGCUCACACCAGCACUAACCAAGCUGGUUACAUAACCUCAGACUUUCUGGUGCUGGAAUCUGAUCUUCACAAGCCUGCUCAGGUCGAUCGAUAUUAACAUGGUUAUAUAGAUGAGUGACGAGAUAAGGGAAUACCAUGGAACUUGUCGAGGAUGUCGUAGUUUGUAAGAUGUUUCGAAUUUAUUUCCUAGUACUCCAUUAUUAAGCUGUAGGUAGCAUCAUAUGCCUAUUAAAGCUCUGUAGGCUGUUUGACUAUUUGUACUGUCUGUAAUGUUAUUGCUAGUUGACAAGUUAUGGACGACUAGAGCAUUAUUUUACCUCCUGUUCAGAAUCCGCACUCAUGCAGAAAAUUUUGGGUCAAUAUUGUACACAAACCAGGCUGCACACCAAUAUUUCAGAAUGGGGUUGUUGAUCGAGACUACACACAACUACCUACAUGACGAAUUUUUGGCAAUGCAUCGAAGUUUACAUUCUGUCUACGUUGUGGAGAAGACUGGUUCUGCAUGGACCCAUUGGCUGGCUGGAGCUGAUCAUUGAAUGAAAUAAUCUACCAGGAGAGGACGAUCUUACAGUUCGAAGCUGCACCAAAAUGUUGUAGUUGCAAUCUAUAUGUGGUUGAUACCACUGGGAUAAUUUAUUUGUGAAUACCUAGUUUCUUUUAUUGGCUAGGAGCGUGUUGAAGGUUAUUUUGGUUUAAGAAGUGCCUUAGAUUGACUUGCUCAAAACGACCCGACUUCAGGUUGGGGUUUAGGUCUAGUAUUCACAAUGUGGAUUCGUUCCAACCCUCACUAAAAAUGCUGCACUGUUGUGCGGAUGGAUUGUGCAAUUCGUUCGCAUACACUAUAAUAAAUACGUUAAGGGCUUCUGCAUA